GCCUCUUCUCCUUCUCUGGCUUCUGUAUCAAAGCCUGUACUUGAUGAUUCUUCAACACUUCGUUCUCUUUCCUUUAAGUAAGAAUGAAAGUUAGCCAUAGGGGAGUGGUCUCAAAAAUAAGUCACCUAAUAAAUCAGUAACAAAAGAUAGGAUAUGGGGUAGUUUUCCCUUCUUUUAUUGGCUUUACCGUUGUUGUCGUUUCGUGGAGUAAAGUUUCCAGUGUUGUUCACUCCAAUCUCAGUUCUCAUGCCCAUGUAGCAGUGUUGGGAAUAACGGAAUCCUGUACUGGUGCUUGUUCUGUGCGAUAAAAGUACUCCGCAGAAGCUGGAUAAGGUGAGGAAACAGUAGAAAGAAGCGGUAAAGUAAUAAUGAAGUGUUUGUUGCCAUAGGUAUGUAUAGGAAGGAACCUCAUUAGAGCGGGCAGGUAUACACUAAAAUCGAAUUUCUUGAACGGGGAAGAAAAGAGGAUAGUGACUCUCAUUGAAACUCAGCAACUUGCCAACGAAUGCAUUUGAACCAAACAUCUUAAGCCCGAGAUACUUUCCUGAUUGACCUGGACCGGAUUCUGUUUAUGAAUUACCUGCUCGGCAACUAAGCUCACUGCGCCUCUCUUAUCUUGUACUAAACCUUAGAUGCCAAUAAAGGUGUAUUGCCCUUGUAUACUAGUUGGGGCUCGGAAUAGCUUCUCUUAAAGAUAGAGAUGCAAUUGAAAGAUCUGAAACAAGAACUUGAAUAGCGGCUGGAGCUAGGCAUGAUGAUGGAUCUAGAC
Molecule: long non-coding RNA, 769 nt
Filed under: Musa acuminata (dwarf banana)
Lineage: Eukaryota; Viridiplantae; Streptophyta; Magnoliopsida; Zingiberales; Musaceae
Description: long non-coding RNA (MACU_LNC007965)
Source: RNAcentral